AGAGUUUGAUCCUGGCUCAGGACGAACGCUGGCGGCACGCCUAACACAUGCAAGUCGAACGGAGAUGAUUUGAGUUUACUUAGAUCAUCUUAGUGGCGGACGGGUGAGUAACACGUGAGCAACCUGCCUUUGAGAGAGGGAUAGCUUCUGGAAACGGAUGGUAAUACCUCAUAACAUACAGAUACCGCAUGGUGACUGUAUCAAAGAUUUAUCACUCAAAGAUGGGCUCGCGUCUGAUUAGAUAGUUGGUGAGGUAACGGCCCACCAAGGCAACGAUCGGUAGCCGGACUGAGAGGUUGAACGGCCACAUUGGGACUGAGACACGGCCCAGACUCCUACGGGAGGCAGCAGUGGGGAAUAUUGCACAAUGGGGGAAACCCUGAUGCAGCGACGCCGCGUGGAGGAAGAAGGUCUUCGGAUUGUAAACUCCUGUUGUUGAGGAAGAUAAUGACGGUACUCAACAAGGAAGUGACGGCUAACUACGUGCCAGCAGCCGCGGUAAAACGUAGGUCACAAGCGUUGUCCGGAAUUACUGGGUGUAAAGGGAGCGCAGGCGGGCGAUCAAGUUGGAAGUGAAAUCCAUGGGCACAACCCAUAAACUGCUUUCAAAACUGAUUGUCUUGAGUAGUGCAGAGGUAGGCGGAAUUCCCGGUGUAGCGGUGGAAUGCGUAGAUAUCGGGAGGAACACCAGUGGCGAAGGCGGCCUACUGGGCACCAACUGACGCUGAGGCUCGAAAGUGUGGGUAGCAAACAGGAUUAGAUACCCUGGUAGUCCACACCGUAAACGAUGAUUACUAGGUGUUGGAGGAUUGACCCCUUCAGUGCCGCAGUUAACACAAUAAGUAAUCCACCUGGGGAGUACGACCGCAAGGUUGAAACUCAAAGGAAUUGACGGGGGCCCGCACAAGCAGUGGAGUAUGUGGUUUAAUUCGACGCAACGCGAAGAACCUUACCAAGUCUUGACAUCCUGCGACGGACAUAGAAAUAUGUUUUUCCUUCGGGACGCAGAGACAGGUGGUGCAUGGUUGUCGUCAGCUCGUGUCGUGAGAUGUUGGGUUAAGUCCCGCAACGAGCGCAACCCUUAUGGUCAGUUACUACGCAAGAGGACUCUGGCCAGACUGCCGUUGACAAAACGGAGGAAGGUGGGGAUGACGUCAAAUCAUCAUGCCCUUUAUGACUUGGGCUACACACGUACUACAAUGGCGUUAAACAAAGAGAAGCAAGACCGCGAGGUGGAGCAAAACUCAGAAACAACGUCCCAGUUCGGACUGCAGGCUGCAACUCGCCUGCACGAAGUCGGAAUUGCUAGUAAUCGCAGAUCAGCAUGCUGCGGUGAAUACGUUCCCGGGCCUUGUACACACCGCCCGUCACACCAUGAGAGCCGGGGGGACCCGAAGUCGGUAGUCUAACCGCAAGGAGGACGCCGCCGAAGGUAAAACUGGUGAUUGGGGUGAAGUCGUAACAAGGUA
This 1469-nucleotide ribosomal RNA is filed under the name metagenome. RNAcentral's name for it is "bacterial SSU rRNA". It matches the Rfam family "Bacterial small subunit ribosomal RNA". The record is from RNAcentral.